RNAcentral lists this long non-coding RNA (1672 nucleotides) under Nicotiana tabacum (common tobacco). RNAcentral describes it as "long non-coding RNA (NTAB_LNC008045)". Lineage: Eukaryota; Viridiplantae; Streptophyta; Magnoliopsida; Solanales; Solanaceae. The record is from RNAcentral.
ACUUUUUGGAUCCAAGAUUUAUGGUUGUUCUAUGUCAUGAUCGAGCUUUGGAGAAGCGUAGUGAUUUCAGUAAGAGAUACUCUUUUGGGGGUUCGCUAAUCAAGUAAGUAUAUGUUCAUCCUUUCCUGAAAAUCUUUGAGAACUAGAUGGAGACGAUGAUUCGUAAGUAUCAUAAUUUGGUACAAAUAGAGUCAUAUAGUUUGGGUGAAUCUUGAGAUUUUUGGUGCUUUCUUUACUAUAGUCUUAUUGUGCGAAUAAUCCAAUAAAUUAGAUUCUGAUAUUCUCUAGUUUGCACACCACUUUGUCAUGAUGAUGGUUGCUUCUGUAGUUUUGCAUGUUAAAAUUAAUCUCUUUAUAGCAGGAAUAGGUUGAUACUUGAUACCAUUUGGGUUGUUCGUGGGGUAGGGGAGGGGAGGUGAUGGGAAGGGAGGAAGCAACGUGCUGGAUUUUGCGAUUGAAAAUCCAGAUUUUAUUUUUCAAUAGAAAAGGUAAGAGAAAGCUUAGCAAAAGUGUAAAGUUCUAAAAUUUUUCUCUAGCUCUAUUUAAUCGGCCUUUUAAUGGUUGAUAACUUAGCUAACAGUUCAAUUUUUUUUGCCAACUAUAAAAUAUUAUUUUCUUUCUUGAUCUACUUGUUAUUUUUUAUUGCAAGUUGAUCAUACCAAAUUUUUUUAAGGUUCCAUUAUGUUCUCUUGGUGUUAUCAUUCUUUGACUUUUGUGCUGGCCAGUUAUACUAUAGUUAUUAACAGAUGUCUAUGUCUAAAUUGUCAUUGUCCUUGAUCUUUGGUGGGUGAAAUCCGUUCAUUUUGGAUCAAGUGCCAUUUUUCUACUCUUUAAAGGUCUCAUUAUUUUAGUUUAUUGCCUUGAUAAACUUGAUUCUAUAAUGUAUAUUAACGUGCUAGUGUUGAAUGAAUCUUUAUUUCACAAACAUAUAGGUCUUUUUAAGUGAGAAUACUGCAUUAGAUUUAUCAGAUCUUUACUUAAGCAUGAUAUCGAUUUAAGAAAUGUUAGAGCAAUUUACGCGCUGGCGCUAAUGGUUAGUGAAUGGUGACUCUAAUUGCUUUAACAAAAUGUAAUAUAGGUCUGAUGAAUAAUUUUUAUAAUUUGAGUAGUAGAAUACAGUAAAACACUUUCUUUCUGUCAUUAAAUUUUUUUAUCACAAUUGUAGUAGGCAGCAAUGGAGCUGAAAGAUGGUAACUUCAUGGUGGAGUUGUUCUUGUUAUUGGAGUACUAUGGGCAUAGGGUAAGCAACAUUUCAAGCCCUAUCCAUUAUUCAUUUUCUCUAUCUUAUGAAAUUUGUGAGUUCUUUCAUUUUAUUUAUAAUGUUCAUUGACUUUUGAUUCUUCUUCUUUACUGAUGCAUUAGACAUGUCAUCGUUGAAGAAUUUUUAAGCUUCGGUGUAGUGAUUUAUACACGUUCAUGAAAUAAAAAAUAUUCUGAUGAAUGUUUUGGAGAAACUGGCAAAAGAAGGGGUGUAAAUUAAAAAGGUCUAUAUGUGUCUUGUUAUCAGAAGAUCAAUGACACUGGUAAUUGUAAAAGCCACUAAAUACUUCAGUGGAAAGCUUAAUAUCUCUGUAAAUGAGAUACCUUAAAUUGUUGUGAAGUUUAUAUUGAAUCUUUAAUUGAAGAUUACUAAUUAUGUAAUUUCAUAUUGAAUCUUUUAUUAUAAUGCUCC